AUGGGAAUUCUGCCUCUCCCCUGGGAAUUUCCACCUUUUCCCAUGGGAUUUCUGCUUUUCCCGCGGGAAUUCCGCCUUUUCCUGCAGGAAAUUCAUUUUCCCUCGGGAAUUCUGCCUUUUCCUGUGAAAAUUCCACCUUUUCCUGCGGAAAUUCCUUCGUUUCUUGCGAGAAAUUCAUUUUCCUGGGAGAAUUCUGCCUCUCCCCGCGGGAUUUCCACCUUUUCCCACGGGAAUUCCGCCUCUCCCCAUGGGAUUUCUGCUUUUCUUGCGGGGAAUUCCGCCUUUUCCUGCGGGGAAUUCCUUUUCCCUUGGGAAUUCUGCCUCUCCCUGUGGGAAUUCCGGCUUUUCCCAUGGGAAUUCCGGCUUUUCCCCAUGGGAAUUCCACCCUUCCCCAAAGGAAUUCCAUCUUUUCCUGUGGGUAUUCCGUCUCUUCCCAUGGGAAUUCCUGAAUUCCACCAUUCCUGGCAGGAAAUUCCUUUUCCCAUGGGAAUUCCACCUUUUCCCGUGGGAAUUCCGCCUUUUCCUUCAGGAAACUCCUUUUCCCGCAGGAAUUCCGUCUCUCCCCGCGGGAAUUCCGUCUCUCCCCGCGGGAAUUCCGGCUUUUCCCAUGGGAAUUCCACCCUUCCCCAAAGGAAUUCCAUCUUUUCUCGCAGGAAUUCCGUCUCUCCCCGCGGGAAUUCCGCCUUUUUCUGUGGGAAUUCAACCUUUUCCCGUGGGAAUUCCACCAUUCCCGGCAGGAAAUUCCUUUUCCCUCAGGAAUUCCACCUUUUCCCACGGAAAUUCAACCUUUUCCUGCAGGAAACUCCUUUUCCCGUGGGAAUUCUGCCUCUCCCCGUGGGAAUUCCGGCUCUCCCCUCGGGAAUUCCCCCUCUCCCCACGGGAAUUCCGGCUUUUCCCAUGGGAAUUCCACCCUUCCCCAAAGGAAUUCCAUAUUUUCCUUCAGGAAUUCCGUCUCUCCCCGCGGGAAUUCCGGCUGUCCCCGCGGGAAUUCCGUCUCUCCCCUCGGGAAUUCCGUCUCUCCCCUCGGGAAUUCCGUCUCUCCCCACGGGAAUUCCGGCUGUCCCCUCGGGAAUUCCGGCUGUCCCCGCACCUGGUGGCCCCGGGUUUGAGCCCCAGCGUGUCCCAGCUGUCCUUGCUGCUGCGGAUCCUGCGGAUGGCCUCCGC
This 1164-nucleotide long non-coding RNA is filed under the name Cyanistes caeruleus (blue tit). Its description in RNAcentral is "lncRNA (ENSCCEG00000022854.1)". The record is from RNAcentral. Lineage: Eukaryota; Metazoa; Chordata; Aves; Passeriformes; Paridae.